This is a non-coding RNA of Schistosoma mattheei, 45 nucleotides long. The record is from Rfam. NCBI's taxonomy places the organism in Eukaryota, Metazoa, Platyhelminthes, Trematoda, Strigeidida, Schistosomatidae.
AUCCAGCUGACGAGUCUCAAAUAGAAAGAAAUGCGUGUCCUAGAU